Molecule: small nuclear RNA, 47 nt
Organism: Gasterosteus aculeatus aculeatus (three-spined stickleback)
Lineage: Eukaryota; Metazoa; Chordata; Actinopteri; Perciformes; Gasterosteidae
Gene: U2
Rfam family: U2 spliceosomal RNA
About the family: U2 is a small nuclear RNA (snRNA) component of the spliceosome (involved in pre-mRNA splicing). Complementary binding between U2 snRNA (in an area lying towards the 5' end but 3' to hairpin I) and the branchpoint sequence (BPS) of the intron results the bulging out of an unpaired adenosine, on the BPS, which initiates a nucleophilic attack at the intronic 5' splice site, thus starting the first of two transesterification reactions that mediate splicing.
Source: Ensembl
AUCGCUUCUCGGCCUUUUGGCUAAGAUCAAGUGUAGUAUCUGUUCUU